This 190-nucleotide ribosomal RNA is filed under the name uncultured Lactarius. RNAcentral describes it as "partial 28S ribsomal RNA". It matches the Rfam family "Eukaryotic large subunit ribosomal RNA", at positions 1 to 189 of the family's 3401-position model. The record is from RNAcentral. Lineage: Eukaryota; Fungi; Basidiomycota; Agaricomycetes; Russulales; Russulaceae.
GACCUCAAAUCGGGUGAGACUACCCGCUGAACUUAAGCAUAUCAAUAAGCGGAGGAAAAGAAACUAACAAGGAUUCCCCUAGUAACUGCGAGUGAAGCGGGAAAAGCUCAAAUUUAAAAUCUGGCGGUCUUUGACUGUCCGAGUUGUAAUUUAGAGAAGCGUCUUCCGCGCUGGACCGUGUACAAAUUCU